CACACACCAUUCCAGCAGGGGGCAGUACACCAUCUAUAUGUUAAAAUCCAAGUGGCCUCUGUGUAUGUAUAUGCAUGAGUGCGUGCGUGUGUGAUUUUAUUCAG
Long non-coding RNA from Thalassophryne amazonica, 104 nucleotides. RefSeq lists it as uncharacterized. The record is from RefSeq and is a predicted model, not a curated record. The transcript has 3 exons. Lineage: Eukaryota; Metazoa; Chordata; Actinopteri; Batrachoidiformes; Batrachoididae.